Molecule: long non-coding RNA, 8814 nt
Filed under: Homo sapiens (human)
Lineage: Eukaryota; Metazoa; Chordata; Mammalia; Primates; Hominidae
Description: small nucleolar RNA host gene 14
Rfam family: Small nucleolar RNA SNORD116 (bases 1130-1221)
Source: RNAcentral
GAUGAGUCCUCCAAAAAAAACAUUCCUUGGAAAAGCUGAACAAAAUGAGUGAAAACUCAUACCGUCAUUCUCAUCGGAACUGAGGUCCAGCACAUUGCUUCCUCUGGGGCCUUUACUAGUGAGGGACAACUUCCACUAGUCCCUAUAGGUUCUAACACCCAUGGCGUUCACAGGUGAAGGUCUCCUGUCAUAUUACAAACAUUCCCCCCACUCCCCUCCCAAAAAAAGGAACAUUUCCUCUGUGUCAGGUACACAGGUCAGAGAGUCAUAGGGUGACUGGCUGCUCUGUGAUGGCAUAGUGGCCGUGGAAGUGGAUGGAAAUGUCGCAGGCUUAGGGGAGUGUGGGGCUGGCCUCGGCUUGGUGAGCUCCCAGGAAGGGGGACCUGGAAAUCGCUGCGGGCAUCCUUGCAUAGAGGACCAGCAGUUGUCAUGAGAGGUCUGCCGCUUGCUGGCAAGGAAGAUGGUCAAUUCUUCUGACCAACAGAGGCUGCCUUGAGUCCUGAUUUGGUGUGGCCUGGCAUCUAUGGUGCACCCAAUGCUGGGGCAGUUGCCGUGGGAGGCCUGCCGUCUGCUGAAAGGAAGAUGGUUGAUGCUUCUGAGCAAUGAAGGCCCCAUGGAGUCCUGGAUUCGGUGUGGCCUUGCAUCCGUGGUGCACCCCGUGCUGGUGGAUGGCUCAGGACGGGGCAGUUGCCAUGGGAGGCGCAGGCCUGCUGGAAGGAAGAUGGUCGAUUCUCCCAAGCAACAAAGGCCACGUAGAGUCCUGGUUUCAGUGUGGCCUGGUAUCCACAGUGCACCCCGUGCUGGUGGGUGGCUCAGGACGCACACUCAUUUCCUCUGCACCUUCCUGGUGUCAUUGGCAUGGAAGGAAGGCCCUUGUCCAAGAAGGAUGGUCUUCGUCUUGUGUGAUCUUUGAGAUGCCAUGAGGCCCCUGGAUACAAAUGGUGUGGGCUCCUUUGGAGGCUUUUGGAUUUCUCCUGAAUGUGGCGUUGGUAUGGAAGGAAGGCCAGUGACCGCAAGGGAUGACUUUGAUCUUGGGAGAUUUUUGGAGAUGGCAAAGUGCUUCUAAACAUGUUUGGCAUGGUCUCCUUCAGGCUGGUGGAUACCUCAGGAUGAAACAAAGAUUGUGCCUGGAUCAAUGAUGACUUCCAUAUAUACAUUCCUUGGAAAGCUGAAUAAAAUGAAUGAAAACUCUAUACCAUCAUCCUCAUUGAACUGAGGUCCCAGCAUGCUGCUACAUUGGAGGGCAAGGAGAGGGGGCCAACAUCUGUUUGUUGACAUGGUCUACACCUUGGCUUAGGAUGUGGUCCUCUUUGGGCAAAUGCAAGCGUCUGGGCUUUUUGGACUUCUGUAGCUGAGAGACAGCUUGGUUGAAGGAAUUUCCUCUGAGAAGGUGGGGUGGCAUGGGCAUGCAAAGAAAGACAGAGGCUGCAAGGGAUAAACUUCAUCUUGGGAGAUCCCUGGAGAUGGCAGGGAACCCAUGGACACAUGUGGCAUGGGCUCCUUUGGGUGCCGGUGGAUCCCUUCAUACGGUAAAGCCAGAGUUGGGUAUCAACCAGAUACACUGCAGGGGAUCAGAGGACAUGGCCUUUGUGUACUGCACAUCUGUCAGAUUUUCUCAAGCACACCCGUGUUUCCUCUUCACCUCCCACGUGGAAGUGAUGAAUUGGCCAGGACCAUGUUGGUGAGGGACAAUCAUCAUCUCAUGUUAACCUCAGAGAAGCCAGGAAGCUCCUGGACACACAUGGUGUAGGCUUCCUUGGAGGCUGUUGGAUCUCUCCUGAAUGUAGUGUUGGUGUAAAAGGCAAACCCGUGUCAUGAGGGAUGGUCAUCAUCUUGUGUGAUCCUUGGAGAUGGCAGGAAGCCCUGGACAUACAUGGUGUGGGGGCUCCUCCAGAGGCUGUUGGGAUCCUCCUGGAUGUGGUGUGGGCAUGGAAGGAAGGCCAGUGGAGACAAUGGAUGAUCUUGUUCUUAGCAGAUCACUGGAUGUGGCAGGGAGUCCUAGGACAUGUGUGGUGUGGGCUUCUUCAGGUGCUGGUGGUGUUGGCAUGAGGAAAGGAGGUAUCUUCGAGGGACAAUCUUCUUCUUGUGCGAUCCUUGGAGAUGCCAUGAGGCCCCUGGACACAUGUGGUGUGGGCUCCUUUGGAGGCUGUUGUAUCCCUUCUGAAUGUGGCGUGGGCAUAGAAGGAAGGCCAGUGGCCACGAGGGACAAUCUUGGUCUUGGGAGAUCCUGGAAAUGAUAGGGAGUCCCUUGAUAUGUGUGGCAUGGGCUCCUUCAGGUGCUAGUGGAUUCCUUAGGAUGGGACAAACACUGUGCGUGGAUCGAUGAUGACUUCCAUAUAUACAUUCCUUGGAAAGCUGAACAAAAUGAGUGAAAACUCUAUACCGUCAUCCUCGUCGAACUGAGGUGGUGUUGGCAUGAAAGGCAGGCUUGUAUCAUGAGGAAUGAUUGUCAUCUUGUCUGAUUCUUGGAGAUGGCAGGAAGCCCCUGGAAACACAUGGUGUGGACUCUUUCACAGGCUGUUGAAACCCUCCUGAAUGUGAGGCCAGAGACAGGCAGACAGCAGAUGUAUUGCAGGGAGCUGGAUGACAUGGCCCUUGGAACCUGUGCACAUGCCUGCCUUUCUGAUGCACGUCCAUGUUUUCUCUGCACCUCCCCGGUGGUGUUGGUAUAAAAAGCAGGCUUACAUCAGCAAGGGAUGAUUGUCGUCUCAUGCGAUCCUGGGAGAUGGCAGAAGUCCCGGGACACAUGGAGUGUGGGCUCUUUCGGAGGCUGUUGGAUCCCUCCUGAAUGUGUUGUGGCCAUGGAAGUAAGGCCAGUGGCUACGAGGGACAGUCUUCAUCUUGGGAGAUCCCUAGAGAGGGCAGGGAGCCCCUUGACAUGUGGAAUGUGAUCUCUGUUGGGUGCUGGUGGAUCCCACAGGUGGUCUGGCAUGGAAGAAGGCCAGAGGCUGCGAUGGAUCAUCUUUGUCUUGGGAGAUUCCUGGAGAUGGUGGGGAGCCCCUGGGCACGUGCAGCAUAUGUGGCGUGGGCUUCUUCAGGUGCUGGUGGAUCCCUCAGGAUGCUUUUCAAGGUUUUUCUAUGAGUUCUGUUAAAGAGUCUGAAAAUGGAGCGUAGAAGACAUGCUUCGAUUUCCAGGAUGGUUGUGUUUUCCAGAGAGGCGGAGGUAAACCACUGGCGCAGCCCUGCCUCCCACAGAUAAUUCCGGGUGCAGUGUUUCAUAUCUAGACUUGGACUUCUAUCCUACCAUACUUCUUUGUGUGCAGUUCAUUGUGGAACCAGCACAGAUUUUCAUACGAAAGUUAUUUCUUUUUAACCUCAAAAAGUGACAGAAUGGAGUGUAUCAUGAAAAAGUCUGACAUCAAAACCUCAAAAUGUGAUAUUGAUUGGGUGAGAUAGAAUUCCAUGGAAUUUCAUUGCCAAACCAGUGAAGUGCUAAUUUUGACAUUUGUACCAGCUAACGUAGCUGUGAAGAAACACACCAAUACACUUCUAAGGACAGCAUAGACCAAGAUCUAGGUUUCAUAUGGAUGAAUUUAUUCUUCCCUUUGAGGCAAGACAAGAAGGAAAGAAAGUAUUGGGAAUAAUGCUGCCCUCCCAUCCUCAAGGGCCAGUGGGAACUCUAAUAUUGAUUGGGUGAGAUACAAUUCCAUGGAAUUUUACCACUGAACCAGUGGAGGGCUAAUUUUGUCAUUUGUACCAGUUAACUAACUUGGGAGGAAACAGAACAACACACUCCUGAGAUUGGUUUUCACAGAAUUCCAUGGACUUUAACUGCUGAACCAAUGAUGCACUGAUUUUGUCACUUGUACCAGCUAACGCAUCUGGGAGGCAACAAAACAAUACUCUCCUGAGGUUAAUGUGGACCAAAAACUAGAUUUCAUAUAAAAGAGUUUAUUCCUUCUACUUGAGGUGUGACAUGAAGGAAAGUAAUGGAAAUAAUUCUGCCCUCCCAUUCUCAAGGGCCAGGGGGAAUUCAAAUAUUGAACGGAAGUGAUUUUGGAAUUGCAUGGAAUUCUCACUGCCAUCCCAAAGAAAUGCUGAUCUUGUCACUCUUACCUGUUUCAUUCCCUGGGGGCAGAACAAAAGGACGCACUCCAAAGAUCGGCAUGAACCAAGAACUGGGUUUCAUAUAAAAUAUUUUAUUCUGUCCUCUUGAGAUGUGACAUGAGAAAAGUAUUGAGAAUACUUCUAUCACCUCAUCUUCAAGAAUCCGUAGGAAUUCUCCCAUGGUGGACUUUACGGUUAACCUGAACAGGUCUUGGAAAAAGGACUUUAAACAUUCUCCUGUUCUGUGGAAUAAGUAUACUUUUUUCUGGACAUACACCUUGUCAGUGAGUUCCAUGUGAUACUAGAGUUGCAUAGAUUUUUAACCUUUACGCCAAUGAAGAUCUGAGGCAAACAUUGCCCCUUUUUUAGAAGUUUGCAUUUGUCACUGAUAACUGUAAUAAUUGAUCUUGUUGAAAAGCCUGGGAAAUGAAGAUCUGAUAUGUCACUUUUACCGGCUUCCUCAACUGAAAAAGAAUACAAUGAAACACGCUGAGAAUUUUUGUGCUUUCUCAGUCUUGCUGAUGAUCUUUCUAUGGGCCUGAAGCGUGGAGAGUGCCAGAGAGGCUGAUCCUCAGCAGUGUGGCAGAGGAAAGUUGGGUGCGACUAAGGGGUAUGCGGUGCCCACAUGCCACUGGGUCCUCAGCAGUACCACCUGAUUGGAAGUGAUAUUGGUGGAAGACAACAUUUUGCCGCUUGGAAUUCUCACCUCCACACCAAAGAAGUACUGUUUUUGUCAUUUGCACCAGCUUCUUUCUCCAGGAAAGAUCAAAACGAUGCACUGCAAGUGUGAUUGGUCCAGAUAGCUGCCUUAUCCAACUGCCUCCUUUGGACCACUUCAUCAUGGGACAGCUUGAUGCAAUCUACUUGACAAGACCCUGGAACCCCACACCCCUCAUGGAACCAGUGUCCACCUCCCAGUCACAGUGUGACCCCAGGGAACUCUUGCCUGCUUGCUUUAAACCCACCACUUAAAAGUCUCCACAGAAAACCUGUUUGAAUAGUACCCUUGACCCAAUAAGGGCAUUGGCCCCUGGGUGUCUCUCUCUCUCUCUCUCUCUCUCUCUCCCUCUCUCUCCCUCUCUCUCUCUCGCUCCCUGACCUCUGCGUGUGGACUCCAGGCAUGCCAUAUACCCCUCAGGACCUGAAGCAAAAGAAUGAAUUAAAGAAAACUCCAGAGAAUGAGCUGACAACCUACUCCCUGGUCAGUGGCUCUCCAUGCCUACCUGUGGUCUCUUGGACACCCUUGCAGAAGAUGACUUCCUGGGAACUCUUCUGGGAGUGAAUGUUAUCAGCAAAUUCCCAAAACAACACCCCUUAGACAAAAAGCCUCCUCACCUAUGCAUUGCCUAGACCACCCACUAAAGGUGAUGGCCACAAAGAGGUGGAUUUGUUGAGUUGGUGCCAUUCCUUCUACUGCCAGCUUCACCAAAACAAUGACACAGUCUUCCUUCCGCAUGGAGACUCUUCUCUUUCCUGUGUUGCAGUGGAUGCCUCCUGCAGAUAAGAAAUGCUUAACUGAGAAAUGCUCAUGUUGGGAUAUCAUCGAUGAGACUUUAAUUUGGGCAUGGUGACUGUUUCCCUUGCUGCCACUUGACUCAAUCCCAGGAGCCUCAGUAGAGGAUAUAAUAUUACACAAGAUGCUCAAAAUGGUGGAAUUGCUCAGUGCUCCCAUAAAUAUACAUUUAUAAUUUUCAUUUGCCACAUGGUAAACUGAAAAAUACAGACUAUAUUAAAAAGAAACUGCAUGAUUUUUUUUCAAAAAUUCAAAGCAUAUUUAAAUAAUAUAUAAAUUAAAUGCCCUCCUCUCUUCCAAUUCUGUCCCUAUAGUUUUCCUCUAUUAAGUGAACUACAUGCAUUCUUUUAGUGGAUAGAUGCACACAAACACACAAGCCAUUAUGGGGAAGGAUCCACGUGUGUGGCCAUAUUGUAACACAUUUUUCUGCAAAUCACCUCUUUCAUUUAACAGCCCUUAUUCAAUGGCCUUUUUCUUUUUCAGUAGUACAUACACAUCUGUGUCAUUUGUUGAAUGACGACAUGAAUGUUUUGUAGAUAAAAUAUAAUUAAAUGUUUUAAGCAUUUCUCACUCAUAGAUAUUUAUGUUAGCACCAAAUUUCUGUGCAAUGAACCUCCCUAUAUAUCAGUAAUUUUGCAUUUGUCUAUAAUAUCAUAAUAAAUUACUUAUCAGUUGAAUUACUGGGAUUAAGUAUGUGCACACUUUAUAUUUAUAUUUUGAAAAUUAUUGCAAGAUUGCCUUCAAAAAUGUGGUUAACAACUUUAUCUUCAAAUGGCAAUGAAUGAGAUUGCCAGCUUUCCUACAGCCUCACAGACAAUGGAUUUUAUAAAUAUUUAACAUUUUUGCCAAUGUGAUCACCCAAACUAUUGUCUUAAAUUGUAUCUCUUUUGUUUUUGAGUUUGGUCAUUUUUUCAUGUUUAUUAGCCAUCUGUAUUUUUUAAUUUCUUCUUUAUGUCCAAUUUUGUGGGUGGGAGGAGGAUUUAGUCUCUUCCUGAUUUCGAAGAGCUCAUUUACUAUUUCGGGAAAUAAGAUUUGGAUUGUCAACCAUUAUAGCUAUUUUUUACACACUUUUCAACUUUGUUUUUGUUAUAAGAAUGUGUAUGAUUGUUACAUGUCCAAGUAUAACCAUGUUCGCUUUUAUGGCUUCUGAGUUUCAUGUCAUUUUUGGAAAGAUAUAUAUAUUGAGUCCAUAAAACCCUUCACCUAUGUUAAAUUCUAAUUCUUUUGUGUUUUUUUAAUUCAAAUUCUUAAAUCAUGAGAAAUUUUUUUGUUUUGAAAUCUUAAAGUUGCCAAGUUACUUGCCAUUACUUGCGAUUAUUUGCCAAUAAUUGCCCAUUUAUCUGUACCGCCAUCUUGCGCAUAUGCUGUACUCUCAUCUGUGACUGGCUCCAUUUUUGUUCUGUGGAUUUGUGUGUCUCUUCUUCUGCCUCCUGUCUCGUGUCUGCUCGUUGGAAGAAAUUACAGUUUAGACUGCAAUUUCAUCAACUUUAAUAAAUCAAUUGAGGGGAGAAUUGGUUUUUAAAAAUAUUAAGUAAGUCUUCGUAUCCAAGGACAAGGUAUGUCUUUUCUUAUUCAAUAAUUUUAAUUACUGUUAAUAUUUUCACUGUGGUGAUGGGAGUUUUUCUUUUAAUUUAUUUUCUUGUUCAUUUUUUGUAUCUAAAGUUUUUGUUUUGUUUUGUUUUGGGGGUAAGUUGUCACCUUACUGUUUCUUGUUGCUUUUCAGAUUUUUUCAAAGUAUAGACUAAAUCCUUCACAAAUAUUUAAAGUUUUUAUUUUCCCCCUUCAUAUUGAUCCUGAUUUUAGUUAUGUUGACAAAGUCCACAGACUGUUACUAUCAGAACACUUGAACAGUUAUGGAAAUAUUACCUACCCUUGAUUUAAUCAGAGUUUAAUGGUAUGCUUCUUUGGUUUGACUGGCACAUUGUCGCUGGUCAUUUCCUCCCAAAGACCACCAGAAAGAGCUAUGAUCAAGCAAAGCUGAGUUUGUUAAACUUACCUGCAGCAAGGGAAAACACCACCUUGAUAGGGUUUAAUAAUGUUUCAAAAUCAAGAAAUGAGGCUUUGGGGUCUGGGCAGGGAACUAAUUAGAAAUGGGCAAAAUUUGUCAUGCAAUACCUUGUGGGAAAGUGAGAUGAGGUUCUUAAUGUGAGUAUUGAUGGUGAAAUCAUUUUCUAGGUGAGCUGUUUGCCUAUAUAAAGAUGUUAUCAAUGACAGAAGAACUAUUUGCCUAGAUAAACAAACUGAAUUUAUUUAUUGGUUUACAGUUUUAUCUUGCUGGGCAGGACUCUGCUGGGGGUGGUAUCAGGUCUUAUUCCCAAUAGGUAAGUUAUUUGGAUAUGGGUGGUCUUAAUCAUCAAUGUGUAAAAUGCUGAUUUUAAGUGCGAAAUACUUUGUCUACCAUGUUAGGAAAGUCUGCCACCUUUUAUCUUUUUUAAGGAAUUUUAAUCAAAACCAGGUGGUAGAUAUAAUCAAAUUGUUUUGCAGAAUCAAUUUUCCUGUUCUCUUUAAAGACUUUUAUCACUGUGAAUUAAUUUACUAUUAUUGCAACUUCCUUUAAUUCCUUGAAUGAACAGACCCUACUGGUUUUAAAAAUGUUUUAUUCUUUUAAUUUACUACUUAAUUGUGGGUAUUUUAAUUUGAUUUGGAAUUUUUACAAGUAUACAACUAAGUGAAAUUGAUCUGUGAUUUUUCUUUUUUGUGCUAUUUUUGUCAUGUUUUGAUAUCAGAUAUUCUGGUUGUGUUAAAAUAAUUUUGAGGAUUUUCUUCUUAUACUGUGUUCUAGAGUGGGUAAAAAAGCCCUAGUCUCACUAUCAGUGUUUAAGUGAACACAUCAGUGACAUCAUCUGGACUCUCCUUUGUUUUUGCUGGUUUGGAGUUAGGACAUCUAGAAGUUUUUUUCUUUUUUUCCUUUUUUUGUAUGGUUAUUGCUUGUUCUUUGUUUUGUGUCAAAUUUAACCUGUUUUCUCUUAGCAAAUCACAGCUCAUGCAGAUUUUCAAACACAUUAGCCUUGUUAUACAAAGUGUUCUUUCAUCAUUCUAUUAAAUUUCCAUUUUCAUUCCAGUUAUAGUUAUUUCUGCUGUGCCUUUGUUAAUGAAUAAGUUUAAACAGUGGAUGUUUAGCAUCACUAGCCUUCCCCUUCCAUCUCCCUUAAUCAGGACCUUGGUAUAAUUUAUCAGGUAUUUUUUAAGGUUCUAAUUUACUUAUAUAUAUUGUUUCUGUAUUCUUUUGUUUCUUUUCUUAAUAAAUUCUUAAA